UGUAGUCAUAGUGCAGAGUGCCAGGAUCUGCCGAUGACCCACUCUCAGCCAGCAGAAUCCCAAUCCACCUGCCCAUAUCUUCUGAAGAUGAAGCCUACACAAACAGAAGAAAAAUCACAGGUACAGGAUCGGAAUAUGAGCAGAAAAAAACAUGAACCAGCAGCUCCCACAGAGCCUCCUCAUAGGGAUACAGGAAAACAGCCCCAAAAACUUCUAAGGUGUUUUGCAUAAAUACAGAAUCAGUGUAUCUAAUGACAGAGAAGUCAAGUAUUCAUGGUCCAGAAGUUGAAGAAACAGCUGCAGCUCAACUAUUAAUUCUUCCAUGGCUGAAAGAUAAAAAAUAAAGCAUCUAAAUUGAACCUAAAACAAACAAAAAAAAUAUAACCUAUGAGCUCUAUAAACAAAUAUUACUAUUGUAAUGUAUUAAAAUUAACAUUAACAGCUGCCUAAUCACGGACACACAAAUCCAUCAUAAUAUUGUUUUUUGAAGUACACAUUAUAUAAGGUGCCAAAAAAGAAUAAUCUUAGUAAGCAAAAGAAGCUAAACACUGGAGAAAUGUGUGCUGCUGAAUUUCAGAAGCAUUAUUUAUUUAUGCUUGGCAAUUAUAUAUGAGGAGCUGAAGAGAUACCUAUGUUCUACAGAUUAUUUACAUGUUGUAUUUUAUAAAUUGAAAUAAAAUGGUAAUUAUAUAUUCUUCAAUUAAAAAAUAUGAAUUCUGAUAACCCUCAGUCAGGCUCAGAUGCUUUUAACAAAAUUAAAAAUAUGAAUGGAAGAAAAACUUAUGGCUAUUUGCUUUAGCAAAAUGAAAUCUCUAUGUUCAAAAGACAAUAUGCUGGUAAGGAGAAUUUUCUCUAUGUCCUGCUGGCAAGUUUACAAAUGAUGAAGCAUUCGUUAAAAACUCAUGAGUUCCUGGGAGCAGCUUUUCAUAUUUCUGGCAUCUUACUUCUGAAUACAAAUUUCAUAUCCAGAUACAAAUUUGUCAUGAGGGCUCUAAUCUGCUGAACCUUUAGAUCAAGCAAUAAAAAUCAUUCAUUCACACAAGCUUCAUGAGCAAAAUUGAGAAUGCUUUACUUAUCUUGCUAAUAACAUUAAUAACUUGUAAAUUUAAAAAAAUCUUUCAGAAUUAAGUAGUUACUGCCACCAUCUGUUUAAGACAAGGUCAUGCAAAUUUAAUAAUCUCACAGCAUGCUGUACAUUGCCAACAUGGAAACUGUUUUAUCCCAACAGAAUGCUUCAUAAAUAAAGACUUCAACUAUCAUGUGUUUUCAAUUUGAAAUUUUUAGUACUAAUUUGUUGUAUUUUUAAUCUAUCGCAUAUUUAACUUCAUUAUUAAAUACUGUAUUUUAAGUGUUUUUACAUCUAGUGACAGAUAAAAUAUGUCAGAAUAUACAUAGCAAAAAGUUAUCCAUAGAAUUCUUCUAGCCCUAAAGAUAAGAAAAAGAAGUUUCCACAUUAUUAUCAAGAUUUGAUCAAGAUACACCUGGAAAUAGUCAAAGUAGAAUUUGUCACAUCGUAUCAUCUCAGUCCAAAACAUGUUGGCAAUAGCAUCAACUUAUCACAGGCCCAAGGAAUCUGUUUCACAUAAGAUUUUUUUUAAUAAAAAGUGCUUUUAUUGAGCUGCUCUUCAGUUAUACAUGGUUUUGAAUUGAAAAUGUUUAUUUACCAAAUUAUUCAACACGCUGUAAAAUAAAAAUGAUUCAGAACUCUGAAAAGUAUUUGAAACAUCAUAAAACUACAAGUACUCAAUGUUCCUUUUCUGCAUUCAUUUACAACAUAUAAAAGAAAUUAGAUGCUAAGAGGUUCUUUGGCACAGUACUUCAAAUAUGAAAGCCACACCUAACUGAAUCAAGUUGACCUACUGUUUGCAUGCCAAAUGCAAUCGGGUGUAGUUUAUAUAUGAACAACUUGAACAGAGCAUUACAUCAUCAACAUAAUCAAGACCAAAUAUCUCUUUCAUUUCCAUCACAAAAAUGUUUGCAUAAUUCCAUGUAUCACUAAAUGUCUACUUUUGUUACCAAGCUCCCUUCGUUCUUAUAAGGUAAAGAUUCCUCUGAGUCAAGGUUGAGUCCUGGUGAUACAUUCAUGAAGUUUUCUUAGCAAGAUUACAGAACUUGUUUGCUAAUAUCUGUUUAUGUUUUGUUUUGUUUUUACUUCCCAGGCUAACCUACAACCCUGGGUUUACCUAGUGGUCUCGGAUUCACAUUCUAACCAGAUGAGAUCCUAUUUAAUUUUUUUAAGAUCACUGUGGCCAUUACCCAGAGGAGCAGCUCACUGAGUUUGGAAAGAGUUUCACUUAGAGUCUAGUUAUAGCUUUCAAAGACCUUUUCAGCAGGUGAUAGCAUCUACCUGGCCACAUCAGGGUUCAGAUAUUAAGCAGAAUCAAGCCUGGCUAGUUCUUGAAAAAGAGAUUAUAAUUCAUUUAUGUGACUAGAUUUGGCCUAUCCAUGUAGUCUUCUUGGUCAAAAUUCAAGAGUGGUUUACCAUUGCCUUCUUCUAAUGCCUUUGCUGCAUCCACAUUUUCCUAUAUCACUGGGGCCCAAGAAUAGAUUUCUGCUUGCUUUAAAACUAGGCAGUGGGAUGAUCUUCACACUUUAUGUGAUCUUCCUGGGUAACUUAUUUUUGCACACACGCAGCUACCACAAUCUGUGUGGUUGUUAAAACCCAAAACAAUUUGAUGCCACAAAAUCAAUCAGAAUUGGUCAUCUAACUUAGUAAAUAAAACUUAUUAAUCAAAGAAUCAAAGAACAAAAAUGGGUGCUAAAGGUCAUCUAGUUUAAUUCCCUGCAGUUAUAAGAAAUCUACUAUAUAACAUUCUUGAUAAUUGGCCAUCCAGCCUCUUCUUACAAACUUCUGAGGGAGCAUCGGUACUCUGAACAACUCAUAUUAUCAAAAAGAGGGAAAAUGUCAUAAAAUAAACAUCUGAAAAAAAAGGUUUUGAAGUAGCCCAUCUACACAUGUAGAUAUGAUCAGAUCAACUCCCCAUGUACUGAACAUCAGCAUUUUAAAAAACUCACAAAGAGAUAGAUGAAUUAUGUUCUUUAUUAAGUUGAUUGGUCUUAACAUUAUAAAAAGUUAGAACACCCUACAAAAAUUCAGGGAAAAUGCAUACAAUUUUAAGUAUGUUAGUUUUCCUUUUUAAAAUAUUAUCUCUCUGUAUCUUAAUUUUUUUUCUCCUUAUAAUUUCAAUUUGGGAAAGACCUCCCUAACAGGGCUUACUCUGAUUAGAGUCAAGGUUCUUCAAGAACUGCAGAAAAGAAAUCAGUAUGGUAAUCUGUCAGGGCCACCCAACUAAAGCCCUAAAUAUUGGAAGUCCUUCCUUCCAAGAUAAUGUUAAAUAUAACAGCACAGACACCAAAUCAAAGUAAAAACUUGUUAAUGUCAUUCAAAUGUUAAGAAAUUGUUGUAUGUUUCGUUUAUUUAGUGUCAUUCAAGUGUGGUGACUAAAUCAUAAAUUAGAUACACAUACCGUACUCUUGAACAAUUUUAACCUAUCAAUCCCAGUGGAAACUGAUCUCAUCUGUCCACUCCAAAAACAGAUGUCAGCAAAUUUUAAUUUAUUUCCAUCCCCAAAGAGAAACAUAUCUAGCAAUACAGGUAGUCCUCGACUUACAACCACAAUCGAGCCCAGAAUUCACGUUGCUAAGUGAGAAAUUUGUUAAGUGAGUUUUGCCCCAUUUUGACUUUUCUUACCACGUUUGUUAAGUGAAGCAUUGCAGUUGUUAAAUGAAUAUGGCUUCUCCAUUGAUUUUGCUUGCCAGGUCAUAAAAGGUGAUCACAUGAUCCUGGGACCCCGCAACUAUCAUAAAUAUGAGUCAGUUGCCAAGCAUCUGAAUUUUGAUCAUGUGACCAUGGGGAUGCUGCAAGGGUCGUAAGUGUGAAAAACAGUCGUAAGUCACUUUUUUCAGUGCCUUUGUAACUUUGAAUGAUCACUAAAUGAAUUGCUGUAAGUCAAGGAUUACCUUUAGAAGAAUUCCCAGUAGAAAAUGAC
Ahaetulla prasina is the source of this 3989-nucleotide long non-coding RNA. RefSeq lists it as uncharacterized. The record is from RefSeq and is a predicted model, not a curated record. The transcript has 4 exons. NCBI's taxonomy places the organism in Eukaryota, Metazoa, Chordata, Lepidosauria, Squamata, Colubridae.